Molecule: ribosomal RNA, 492 nt
Filed under: uncultured bacterium
Lineage: Bacteria
Description: partial 16S ribosomal RNA
Rfam family: Bacterial small subunit ribosomal RNA
Source: RNAcentral
AGUGAACGCUGGCGGUAGGCCUAACAUAUGCAAGUCGAACGGCAGCACAGUAAGAGCUUGCUCUUACGGGUGGCGAGUGGCGGACGGGUGAGGAAUACAUCGGAAUCUACUUUUUCGUGGGGGAUAACGUAGGGAAACUUACGCUAAUACCGCAUACGACCUACGGGUGAAAGCAGGGGAUCUUCGGACCUUGCGCGAUUGAAUGAGCCGAUGUCGGAUUAGCUAGUUGGCGGGGUAAAGGCCCACCAAGGCGACGAUCCGUAGCUGGUCUGAGAGGAUGAUCAGCCACACUGGAACGGAGACACGGUCCAGACCCCUACGGGAGGCAGCAGUGUGGAAUAUUGGACAAUGGGCGCAAGCCUGAUCCAGCCAUACCGCGUGGGUGAAGAAGGCCUUCGGGUUGUAAAGCCCUUUUGUUGGGAAAGAAAAGCAGCAGGUUAAUACCCCGCUGUUCUGACGGUACCCAAAGAAUAAGCACCGGCUAACUUCGUG